GGCGAGACCGCGUACGGCUCAUUAAAUCAGUCGUGGUCCAAAUGGGCCAGUGCUUAUCCUACUUGGAUAACUGUGGUAAUUCCAGAGCUAAUAUAUGCAACUCAUACCCCGAAGGCCGCGCUCUUGCAGUGUGCGCUGGACGGGUGCUUUUAUUAGACCAAACCGCUGAGGGUGUGUUAGCCUCUCGGGGCGCACGCUUGACUCGCAUGAUGGUGACUCUGGAUAACCUUUGACAAGCGCACGUACCACUCUUUUGAGCGGACGGCGCUGCCACUUUCGAGUGUCUGCCUUAUCAGCUAUCAACCGUUCGUUACGUGCGACCGAUGGCUUUGACGGGUAACGGGGAAUCAGGGUUCGAUUCCGGAGAGGCAGCCUGAGAGACGGCUACCACGUCCAAGGACGGCAGCAGGCGCGCAAAUUACCCAAUCCCAGCUUCUGGGGGAGGUAGUGACGAAAUCUAACGAUGCGGGCGCCCUUUCUAGGGCCCCGCAAUCGGAAUGAGCACUUUCUAAACAACCUGUUGAGAACCUACUGAAGGGCAAGUCUGGUGCCAGCAGCCGCGGUAAUUCCAGCUUCAGCAGCAUCUAUUAAAGUUGCUGCGGUUAAAAGGCUCGCAGUUGAAUGUCAGUGCCGGGCGCAGGUUAGGUGGACGCUGGGGUGUGAGAACCAACACGGCACGGACUUCGUCUGGUUGCUUGUCAGCUUGCUGGCCUUCCAGGCGGAGCAUCGACCGUGUCUCACAAACUCCCGUCCGUGACAAGCCUCCUCGCCCGCGUACAUAUCGGAAUUGGUUUCGGAGGCGUGCGACCGGCGGCUUCUCUCACGUCUGUGCUGGCUCACGCUGGCCUGACUGGGGAGUUGCUUAGCCACGUGCGUUCUCUUUGUGGUUUCAGAGUCACCUUGAGUAAAUCAGAGUGCUCAAAGCAGUCGUAGGGGCCUUGCGCCCUGUGAAAAGUCUUGACGGACUGACUGGUUAUGCAUGGCAUGUCGGAAGACGACGUCGCGUGCUGGCUCAGAGAUUUAUCAGUGGUAUAAGCCAGCCGCGACGUACUGAUUAAAAGGGACGGUCGAGGGCAUUGGUAUUGCGAGGCGAGAGGUGAAAUUCUAUGACCCCCGCAAGACCUCCUGAAGCGAACGCGUCUGCCAAGGA
This 1150-nucleotide ribosomal RNA is filed under the name Crangonyx sp. TBA10. RNAcentral's name for it is "bacterial SSU rRNA". It matches the Rfam family "Eukaryotic small subunit ribosomal RNA", at positions 80 to 964 of the family's 1831-position model. The record is from RNAcentral. Lineage: Eukaryota; Metazoa; Arthropoda; Malacostraca; Amphipoda; Crangonyctidae.